Molecule: long non-coding RNA, 882 nt
Organism: Neofelis nebulosa (Clouded leopard)
Lineage: Eukaryota; Metazoa; Chordata; Mammalia; Carnivora; Felidae
Exons: 2
Source: RefSeq, a predicted model, not a curated record
AGAAUCGCGGUUGCUGGGAGCGCGCUCUGGCGGUGCCGCUUGGCCCGUGGAGACGUACGCUGCCGCGCUCCCGUCGCCUUAGGCCUGGGGCUUCCUCGGGUGUUUCCGGGUGGCCGACCUCCAAGUUACCCUCGAUCCCCUCUCCCUCAUCUCCAGAUACACUAGGGUUUCAUAACACCACUGCUGUUACUCCCAAACGCUGAUAGAGCCGUUUGCCCCAAAUAAGAUUUAGAUCGUAAACUUAUUACUUAAUCCUCGAGAACGGUUAGACUGGAACUAAAGCAUCGUGUUUACAGACGAGCUUCAGAGUUGCUCCCAAGGUCACUGAGCUGUGGGUGACAAAACUGCCACCAGAUUGUGCCCGCCCGCGUCUCACACUACGGAAAAGCCCGAUCCUGGAAAGUCGGUCCAACUCUGGCUGGUUUCCCGCCUCUCACCCAAACUGCAGGAUUUGGCAGAGAAGGGUGGCGUCAUCAUCCCGGACUCUUGAAAGGUUUAAUAGAAACUCAAACGCAAAUGAGACCGGCCAGGCCAUCUGGACGCUCACCUUUACCAAAUAACAGUAAAAAGAAAUUUCUGAGAAGAAUUAGUUUAAAUUCCGGGCCCCCAAACAAAUGCCAGGAAGGGAAAACAGAGCCUCAAGAAUAAUUCACUACUGGGAGAGAAAUACCGCAAUCGUGCUCGAAAAAUCGCUAACCCCUCCCUCUCUGGAACAGUGAGUCAAGCUACGAAGUUUGUCUGGUGUCGUGAAACCUACGCCCCUACUCCCCCCACCCGCUUCAGUGCUGUCUGACUUAUUGUUAAAAUUUAAAUUUGCUUUCAAGAAAAAGAAAACUAAUACCUUGUAUUUUCAGUCACAAAAAUGAAAAAGAUAUGCCAGUA